UGGCGGCUCCGUUCACUCGGAUCGUCCGGCACGUUCCUGCCGGUGAAAGGUGUGCCACAA
Frankia sp. is the source of this 60-nucleotide regulatory RNA element. It matches the Rfam family "msiK RNA". NCBI's taxonomy places the organism in Bacteria, Bacillati, Actinomycetota, Actinomycetes, Frankiales, Frankiaceae. The record is from Rfam.